Molecule: small RNA, 116 nt
Filed under: Marmota monax (woodchuck)
Lineage: Eukaryota; Metazoa; Chordata; Mammalia; Rodentia; Sciuridae
Source: RNAcentral
GCUAGGUAUGGUGGCAUGCACCUGUAAUCCCAACUACUUAGGAAACUGAGGCAGGAGGACUGUCUGAGCCCAAGAAUUGGAGAUAAUUUGAGCAACACAGCUAGACCCUGUUUCAA